CAUUGUGUUUUGCUGGUUACUGUUAAAGAAAAUUGAUGGAAAAGGAAGUUUUGGUGGUUUGAAGAAUGAGACAAGAGGUUUUAAUAAAACUGGAGUUGUAGAAUGGAAAAAAGAUAUACCUACUUUCAAAGGUACUUACACGAGGAAAAGAAUAGAAAAACUAUCAACAACUACUAUCACUCCAGAGUCUAUCCUCACUGAAAAAGACAUUGUGAAUGAUGUUUGCAACGAGUGUAAACGAUUGGAUCCAACAUUUCUUCAAUGUGACGGAAUAUGUCCAGACAUUGAGUCUAGGACAGUUAUCGCUGGAAGUUUGCUUCCUUUAGGAGAUCCACUUUGUUAUUUUUGUGAAAAUUAUCGCAUCAACAAGAAUGAUUAUAAGAAAUGCAGAGAUCGCUUUUGCUCUCAAUAGGAGUCACUAAGAUACUAGAUAAUAAUAUUGACGUAUAAUUCUUUCACAGAUUUAUGAUUAAAUUGGUUAAUUAUUUGAAAGAUUGGUUUUGUGUCUAUACAUGUAUUUUGAUUAGAGUUUGUAUCCAUAUAUCUAUAAGCAAGAGUUACCUAAAAACAACAUAUCUGGAAGGAAAUGCAAAUCGACAUCAGUUUUCAUAUGUGCUUUUUCUUUGUUGUAGAAAAAAAUUAGGAUUCAUGU
This is a long non-coding RNA of Magallana angulata, 652 nucleotides long. RefSeq lists it as uncharacterized. The transcript has 3 exons. The record is from RefSeq and is a predicted model, not a curated record. Lineage: Eukaryota; Metazoa; Mollusca; Bivalvia; Ostreida; Ostreidae.